AGAGUUUGAUCCUGGCUCAGGUUGGACGUUGGCGGCGUGGAUUAGGCAUGCAAGUCGAGCGAGAAUCUGUCUGUUGAAGCUUCGGUGGAUUCAGUCAGAGGACAGCGGCAAACGGCGUAGUUAUGCGUAGGUACGUACCCUCAGGUCGGGGAUAGCCACGGGAAACCGUGGGUAAUACCCGAUGACGGCUGAGGACCAAAGGUGUGAUUCCGCCUGAGGAGCGGCUUAUGUGAUAUUAGCUUGAUGGUGGGGUAAUGGCCUACCAUGGCGACGGUGUCCAGGGGGUGUGAGAGCAUGGCCCCCACGACCGGAACUGAGAUACUGUCCGGACACCUACGGGUGGCUGCAGUCGAGAAUCUUCCGCAAUGGGCGAAAGCCUGACGGAGCGACGCCGCGUGCAGGAUGAAGGCCCUUGGGUUGUAAACUGCUGUCAGAGGGGAUGAAAUCAUGGUUGGCAAUCCUUCCAUGUUGACAGAGCCUCAAAGGAAGCACGGGCUAAGUACGUGCCAGCAGCCGCGGUAAU
This 523-nucleotide ribosomal RNA is filed under the name uncultured Planctomycetota bacterium. Its description in RNAcentral is "bacterial SSU rRNA". It matches the Rfam family "Bacterial small subunit ribosomal RNA", at positions 8 to 524 of the family's 1533-position model. Lineage: Bacteria; Pseudomonadati; Planctomycetota. The record is from RNAcentral.